Molecule: transfer RNA, 72 nt
Filed under: Saprospiraceae bacterium
Lineage: Bacteria; Pseudomonadati; Bacteroidota; Saprospiria; Saprospirales; Saprospiraceae
Description: tRNA-Arg
Rfam family: tRNA
About the family: Transfer RNA (tRNA) molecules are approximately 80 nucleotides in length. Their secondary structure includes four short double-helical elements and three loops (D, anti-codon, and T loops). Further hydrogen bonds mediate the characteristic L-shaped molecular structure. tRNAs have two regions of fundamental functional importance: the anti-codon, which is responsible for specific mRNA codon recognition, and the 3' end, to which the tRNAs corresponding amino acid is attached (by aminoacyl-tRNA synthetases). tRNAs cope with the degeneracy of the genetic code in two manners: having more than one tRNA (with a specific anti-codon) for a particular amino acid; and 'wobble' base-pairing, i.e. permitting non-standard base-pairing at the 3rd anti-codon position.
Source: RNAcentral
GGCCCCAUAGUUCAAGGGAUAGAAUAGCGGUUUCCUAAACCGUAGAUGUGGGUUCGAUUCCCGCUGGGGCUA